AAAGUCGUAACAAGGUUUCCGUAGGUGAACCUGCGGAAGGAUCAUUAACACUUUUUAUUAUUUUGUUUUUUUUCUAAAACAAAAUUUAAAACCCCACAAUUUUGGAUGAAUUUAAUUCAUUUAUUUUUUAUUUUAUUUUUUUUUAUUAUAACCCUAUUAUUUGACUAACAUUUUUAUUUAAUUAUUAAAAAAUUAAAAAAACAACUCUUAACAACGGAUAUCUUGGCUCUC
RNAcentral lists this unclassified non-coding RNA (231 nucleotides) under fungal sp. Its description in RNAcentral is "partial internal transcribed spacer region". The stretch from base 1 to 47 matches the Rfam family "Eukaryotic small subunit ribosomal RNA", at positions 1785 to 1831 of the family's 1831-position model. Lineage: Eukaryota; Fungi. The record is from RNAcentral.